Molecule: transfer RNA, 76 nt
Filed under: bioreactor metagenome
Description: tRNA-Pro
Rfam family: tRNA
About the family: Transfer RNA (tRNA) molecules are approximately 80 nucleotides in length. Their secondary structure includes four short double-helical elements and three loops (D, anti-codon, and T loops).
Source: RNAcentral
CGGGGUAUAGCUCAGUUGGAAGAGCGCGGCAUUUGGGAUGCUGAGGCCGAAAGUUCGAUCCUUUCUACUCCGACCA